CAUGGAUCUCCCUCAAUCAGGGAUCUCCCAUUAUGGCUAACGGUCAUUAGCUUGAAAUCAGUACAUAAUUAGGACUCUAUUACUUGUGUGAAUAUCUCGUAAAUCCUACAGUUUAUUAUUCAAUAAACAAACCACAAUUCUUUUAUCUCUAAUUGUUUUGGAUCUCUAUCAUUAUUCAACUUGGUAUCAAGAACCUUGUUUUUUUUUCAGAUCCUCAUGAUUCAAUUUUUUUUCCAGUAAAUUUGUUUUGUUCAUCUUUGGUUCAGAUUCUCAAUCCAUAUCCAUCAUUCCUAUAGUCAUCUCUGAAUUCGUUCCUUGAAGGGCCCCUUCGAUUUCUAUUUUCCUUUUUGAAUUAGGAUUGAUUCACGAGAUACCUUGUCAACAAAAUUUUAUGGGCAUAACUAUCCGAUUUGGAAGUUUCAUCUCAAAGCCUUCAUUAGAGGCAAAGGCCUCCUUGAUAAUUUGGAUGGAUCAAAGGUUGUACCCACAGAAGACAAAGAAAAAGACGCUUGAGAGGCUGACAAUGGCAAAAUUAUCGCAUGGCUUGUCAAUUCCGUCUCUGUUGAUAUAGCCAUGGAACAUACAGAUUUUGAGAAAGCAUCAGAAAUGUGGAGUCAUCUACAUACCCUCGGUAUCCAACAAAAUCUUGCUCGAGAAUUUGAAUAAUUACAGAAUCUAUACAAGGUGAGAAAAAUGUUUGUUGUUUCUAUUUUGUAUUACUCACAUUAUGGGAAGAACAAGAUCAGGUUUUCGCCACCUCUAUCCCUGCGGCUGGAUUGAAGGAUUUCAUGACUACUAUGAAGAGGACAAGGACAACCCAAUUUCUAAAGAAACUCAGGCCCGAGUUCGAGCAUCUGCAUGCUAGUAUUCUUAACAGGGAAAAACAACAAGCUUUGGAGGUGGUAGUUUCUGAAGUUCUUCAAAAGAAACUCGGUUGAGUUCUCAAGCUUGUCAAUUUCGUCUCUGUUAAUAUAGCCAUGGAACAUACAGAUUUUGAGAAAGCAUCAGAAAUGUGGAGUCAUCUACAUACCCUCGGUAACCAACAAAAUCUGGCUCGAGAAUUUGAAUAAUUACAGAAUCUAUACAAGGUGAGAAAAAUGUUUGUUGUUUCUAUUUUGUAUUACUCACAUUAUGGGCAGAACAAGAUCAGGUUUUCACCACCUCUAUCCCUGCGGCUGGAUUGAAGGAUUUCAUGACUACUAUGAAGAGGACAAGGACAACCCAAUUUCUAAAGAAACUCAGGCCCGAGUUCGAGCAUCUGCAUGCUAGUAUUCUUAACAGGGAAAAACUACAAGCUUUGGAGGUGGUAGUUUCUGAAGUUCUUCAAAAGAAACUCGGUUGAGUUCUCAAGCUUCCAUAAAUAAUUCCCUCACCAUGGACACCACCUUGGCUGGAUAUGGAAGUUCUUCCUCACGCAACUCUAACCAACUAGUUCAAUGAUAUCAUUGCAAGGAAACAUGGCACGUUAUUUCCCACUGAAAACGAUCAACUCCUCAUAAAGCCCUCCAAGCAAUGACAAGGGAUACUGGAACACGAGAAACACUAAGCACAAAAGUGCUUGAUCGCAAAUGAUAUCUACAAAAUGGUACAAGAAUCAUUAGUGGCUGCUCUUACUAAUGCAAUCUCUACAGCUCUGACUGCCACGUAUCCUGAACAUAUUGACAAGGGAAACGAUGGCCAGGGGAAGUAAGGUCGGCAGGCUGUUUCUUCUUCAAUCUCAGGAUUCCAAAAUCCAUUAUUAAAGUUUUCUUUCAGCUUCAAAUAAAGAUAUCCAAUUUUCAAAUAAAAUGUGAAAUGUGGCAUCUCUGUUUAGGUCAUCUACACGUUUCUCGGUUAAAUUUUAUGCUCAAAUGUUGUAAUUUGUUGGCAAACAUUCACUGAUUUUCCUCUCUAAAUUACCUUGUGAAAGUUGUGCAAAAUCAAAGUCAUAAAAUUCCUUUUCAAUUAAGCAGUACAAAUUAUAUUUCUCCCUUUGAUUUAAUUCAUAGCGAUGUUUGGGGACCUUCUCCAACUAUAUCUCGUUUGGGAUACAAGUAUUUCAUUCUAUUCAUUGAUCAAGUAUCUCGUUAUACAUGGAUUUUCUUCUUGAAACACAAGUCUGAGGUACCAAAAACUUUCAAAAAAAAUUUAUGACCUUAUAGAAACCCAAUUUGAGAAAAGAUCAAGAUUUUUCAUCAGAUUCAAGAGGGGAAUAUAUAAAUACAAACUAACUAUUUUUUUCAAGAAAAAGGCAUAAUUCAUCAUCGUUCUUGUCCGUAUACACCAGAACAAAAUGGUGUGGUGGAACGUAAUAAUAGACAUGUUGUUGAAACUGUAUUAUCCCUUCAUGAUACUUCAAAAGUUCCAAAAAUAUUUUGGGUUGAAGCAAUCCAAACAUCUAUUUAUAUCAUAAAUAGACAAUCAUCCUCGAUCAUGAAAUAAAAUUUUCCUUAUUUUAUUCUUUUCAAAAAAUUGUUUGACUUUUACAUCUUAAUGUAUUUGGUUGUGUGUGCUUUGUUCUUCUUCAAGGUCAUGAACGUCAUAAAUUAUCUUCAAAAGCCAUUAAAUGUGUUUUCUUAUGAUAAAUGAUAUUCAAAAGGGGUAUUUGUGUUAUGAUUCAACACAUCGUUCAUUAUUAAUCUCACGGCAUGUUAUCUUCUUUGAGAAUUCUUCAAUUUAUACUAACAAAGACUCACAAAUCUCUACUAUGUCUUUCCUGAAUAAACUUUCUUCUCAUGAUGCUGCUUGUCAUAGCCAUCUUCCUGCUGGUCCUUCCUCGACCAUGUCCUCUACCACAUCAGGUUGUAGUUGUGGAGGUUCGGUUGAGGUGGUAACAGUACCC
Molecule: long non-coding RNA, 2821 nt
Organism: Solanum pennellii
Lineage: Eukaryota; Viridiplantae; Streptophyta; Magnoliopsida; Solanales; Solanaceae
Exons: 4
Source: RefSeq, a predicted model, not a curated record